UCGCAUUGCUCCCCGUCAGAAACCCUAGAUCAGAUCCAGGACGAAUGGCCGAUACCGUAGUUCCGAUUCUGGAGACGACAGGAUGGAUAUUGCGUCCCCCAAAGAACAUGAUGAUGAAAGUGAGUAUUUUGCUUCAUGGGUAGUUAGGAAGCAACUAUACCCGGAGACUGUCAACUGGAUACCGCCGGUUCGGAUCUUCCGGUACACAGCUAUCUUUGAGGAGGCCUGGGGUUGGGACCGGCUACUGCCACAUACCAGUGUUCCGAUCCCCACGUACGGAGUAUCACAAGCGCAAUCGCAUGGAUUACGUUGCUGCUGCCGCUGGCAACUCAAAACCUGAAGACUGGCCGCUCAAAUACCGAGCAGUGAAUAAUGAUACCCAAUUCGACCCGGAUGCGUCACUUGUAGAUGCCGCCCAGUUUUGUCUGAAAAUGGAGGAGCGUUUCAUGUUGGCAUGGCAUAACAAACGCGUCCGCAAUGUGAAACAUCUGAGCCAAUUGAUACAGGAGCGAGCCCGUGCCAUCAUCUCCACUAGUGAAGAAUUCUCUGAAACUGCUGCUGCUAGCUUGGUGUGUAUCUCCAAUGAGGCUGUUUUGGCGUCUGAGCUUCUGCACCGUUGGGCUAAAUCCACUGACGAGGAAAUCAGAUUAUGCAACCUCAUCCGCCACUGUGCACUGAAUUUAAUGCACAUUACUGGGCCUGAAUCUGCUGCCUCCAUUGCUGCCAUGGUGGGUGUUGCUAAGGAGGCCAGGCUAAUGUGCCAGUGGAUGGGGCAAACAAAGAAACUUUAUGCCUACCGCUCUUACAAUCAUCCACCCCAUGAGAUGUAUCUUUGCGACAUGAUCCGUGAGGCCGUCCUUAAGGUUAUGAGCCACGUACUGAACAAUUACUCAAGGGGCAACAAUACUUACAUGGUAAUGGAUUUUCAAAAGAAGAACAGGAAGCGAAAGACCAAGGUGGAAACCUCAGACGACGAGUUAUCACAGGCGUCACUUGAUGAACAGGCGCCACUUGAUGAACGGUCACCAAAAGCCAAUGCGGUAACCUUAAAUGAGAAGUAUCACAGACGGUCUUUCCUCCUGUUGUAAACAAAACUGGCAUCCAGAUUGAACAGGCGCCACUUGGUGAACGAGAGAAGUACAUUGUUGAGCUGGAAAGGAAGUUGAGUGAAAGGGAUAGAGAAUUGGAAGCUUUGAAGUUUGAUCAUAAAAAGGCAGGAUCUUCUUGCAGUGCAGACGAAAUAGCUUGCAAAAGACAGGUACGUCUGUUGCCUUUUGGUGCUUUCCCCUCGAAAAGGAAAUUCACAGUUCAGAAUUUUAGUUGUGCAGCUUAUAUACCUUAAUAGUUUAAAGUAUCCAGAGCUGUGGUACUGGGAAUUAUGAAGUUGGCUGUUGUUGUGAUAACCUUGCUAUGUAUGUUUUUGGACAAAAUGAACCAACACACCGCAUGUUAGUUUUGAGGUAUAACCUUGCUGAAGAAUGAUGAUUGUAGUGCCAUGGAGCGCGAAGCGAGGAUGCUCAGGGAGAACACUUACUUUGAUGUGGAUCUGUGCAGCGGCGGACGAUGCUACCGCAAGCUGAUGGUGCCUGGGCUUAGUGGAGGAUGUUUGGGACCUUGUUUGUGCGUUUUAUCUUCAGCUCUGAGCAUCCCCUUUCUUUCAGACUUUAUUCUCUAUUGCUGGUGUCGUCUGCUUUUCGCCCCAUAACAAUUGUUUUGAUGGUGAGCAUUUUCUGUGGGUUUCCUUGUGAUGCUUUUUACUCGCUCCCCCGUUUCUUAGAGCAUCUCUAGCAGAUCCGGUAUAUGCCUGUCCUGUAAAAUCGUUUUAUCCCACGCCAAUUCCCAUCAUAUGCCAAACAAGGGAAUGGGAGUAAAAAUCUACUUCCCAUGCCUAAUCCCUUCAUAAA
Triticum dicoccoides is the source of this 1904-nucleotide RNA transcript. RefSeq lists it as uncharacterized. The record is from RefSeq and is a predicted model, not a curated record. NCBI's taxonomy places the organism in Eukaryota, Viridiplantae, Streptophyta, Magnoliopsida, Poales, Poaceae. The transcript has 9 exons.